This 207-nucleotide ribosomal RNA is filed under the name uncultured bacterium. RNAcentral describes it as "partial 16S ribosomal RNA". It matches the Rfam family "Bacterial small subunit ribosomal RNA", at positions 1294 to 1500 of the family's 1533-position model. The record is from RNAcentral.
CGGAUUGUAGUCUGCAACCCGACUACAUGAAGCCGGAAUCGCUAGUAAUCGCGGAUCAGAAUGCCGCGGUGAAUACGUUCCCGGGUCUUGUACACACCGCCCGUCACACCAUGGGAGUCGGGAAUGCCCGAAGUCAGUGACCCAACCCAAGGGAGGGAGCUGCCGAAGGCAGGCCUGGUGACUGGGGUGAAGUCGUAACAAGGUAUC